This 65-nucleotide transfer RNA is filed under the name Darthula hardwickii. RNAcentral's name for it is "tRNA-Trp". Lineage: Eukaryota; Metazoa; Arthropoda; Insecta; Hemiptera; Aetalionidae. The record is from RNAcentral.
AGGAUUUUAAGUUAUAUAAACUAUUAACCUUCAAAGUUAAAAAUACACUUGAUAGGUAAAUUCUA